AUUGAACGCUGGCGGCAUGCCUUACACAUGCAAGUCGAACGGCAGCACGGGAGCAAUCCUGGUGGCGAGUGGCGAACGGGUGAGUAAUAUAUCGGAACGUGCCCAGUCGUGGGGGAUAACGUAGCGAAAGCUACGCUAAUACCGCAUACGAUCUAUGGAUGAAAGCGGGGGAUCGCAAGACCUCGCGCGAUUGGAGCGGCCGAUAUCAGAUUAGGUAGUUGGUGAGGUAAAGGCUCACCAAGCCGACGAUCUGUAGCUGGUCUGAGAGGACGACCAGCCACACUGGGACUGAGACACGGCCCAGACUCCUACGGGAGGCAGCAGUGGGGAAUUUUGGACAAUGGCGCAAGCCUGAUCCAGCAAUGCCGCGUGCAGGAUGAAGGCCUCGGUUGGUU
This 395-nucleotide ribosomal RNA is filed under the name uncultured bacterium. RNAcentral's name for it is "bacterial SSU rRNA". It matches the Rfam family "Bacterial small subunit ribosomal RNA", at positions 30 to 424 of the family's 1533-position model. The record is from RNAcentral.